Molecule: ribosomal RNA, 451 nt
Filed under: uncultured bacterium
Lineage: Bacteria
Description: partial 16S ribosomal RNA
Rfam family: Bacterial small subunit ribosomal RNA
Source: RNAcentral
AGCGAACGCUGGCGGCAUGCUUAACACAUGCAAGUCGCACGAAGGUUUCGGCCUUAGUGGCGGACGGGUGAGUAACGCGUAGGAAUCUAUCCAUGGGUGGGGGAUAACACUGGGAAACUGGUGCUAAUACCGCAUGAUACCUGAGGGUCAAAGGCGCAAGUCGCCUGUGGAGGAGCCUGCGUUCGAUUAGCUAGUUGGUGGGGUAAAGGCCUACCAAGGCGAUGAUCGAUAGCUGGUUUGAGAGGAUGAUCAGCCACACUGGGACUGAGACACGGCCCAGGCUCCUACGGGAGGCAGCAGUGGGGAAUAUUGGAAAAUGGGGGCAACCCUGAUCCAGCAAUGCCGCGUGUGUGAAGAAGGUCUUCGGAUUGUAAAGCACUUUCGACGGGGACGAUGAUGACGGUACCCGUAGAAGAAGCCCCGGCUAACUUCGUGCCAGCCGCCGCGGUAA